ACAAAAAAAGUUUGUUAUGAUCUUAACUGAGGAACAGUUCCAAACCAUACAGAUUGCAGUAUAUCAAAUUGGCCUCUUAAGGGGACUUAGGCAUAAAAGUUGAAAGAAUUAAAAAUGUAGCUUUUUUGAUUUUGUAUUUGUAUUUUCUUAAAAGCUCAUUUUUGUUUAAGACACGUUUCUUAACUGACUGAAAAAAGUGUCAGCACGAUGAUUUCCUUCGCUUCUUUCUCAUAUUUCAGAAGGACGCAAGAGAGGCAGGAGUGAAACGGGAAGUGAUUCUCCCCCUCUGCUCUGCGCUGUGAGGCCUCACCUGGAGCACUGUAUCUAGCUGGGGAGUCCUCGGUAUGGAAGAGAUGUGAACCUAUUGGAGAGCAUCUGAAGGAGGACCACAAAAAUGACCCAAGGAAUGGAAUGCCUCCCCUACAAGGACAGGCUGAGAGAGCUGAGGCUGUGCAGCCUUGGGAAGAGAAGGCUUCGGGAGAUAUCAGUAUCUGGAGGGAGGCUGUAAGAAGGAAGGAGACUAUUUAGCAGGGUCUGUUGUGAGAGGACAAGGGGAAAUUGUUUCAAACUAAAGGAGAGGAUAUUUAAAUAGUGUGUAAGAGAAGUUUUUCAUUAUAAGGAUGGUGAGGCACUAGCACAGGUUGCCCAGAGAGAUGGUGGAUGACCCAUACCAUCAAGGUCAGGCUGGAGGGACUCUGAGCACCUGAUUGAGCUGUUCAUUGUAGGCAGGUUGGACCAGAUGGCCUUUAGAGAUCCCUUUCAACUCAAGAGAUUCUAUGAUUCUAAGAAGGGGGGAAUGAGGGA
Molecule: long non-coding RNA, 804 nt
Organism: Gallus gallus (chicken)
Lineage: Eukaryota; Metazoa; Chordata; Aves; Galliformes; Phasianidae
Source: Ensembl